UCUGAGGAAACUAGCCAGCGAUGAGGCUGGAGGAAGGUGGGGAUGACGUCAAGUCAUCAUGGCCCUUACGUCCAGGGCGACACACGUGCUACAAUGGCAGCUACAGAGGGUCGCAAUACCGCGAGGUGGAGCCAAUCCCUAAAAGCUGUCUCAGUUGGGAUCGGAGUCUGCAACUCGACUCCGUGAACGCGGAAUCGCUAGUAAUCGUGGAUCAGCCAUGCCACGGUGAAUACGUUCCCGGGCCUU
RNAcentral lists this ribosomal RNA (246 nucleotides) under uncultured Nitrospiraceae bacterium. RNAcentral describes it as "partial 16S ribosomal RNA". It matches the Rfam family "Bacterial small subunit ribosomal RNA", at positions 1139 to 1382 of the family's 1533-position model. The record is from RNAcentral. Lineage: Bacteria; Pseudomonadati; Nitrospirota; Nitrospiria; Nitrospirales; Nitrospiraceae.